Molecule: long non-coding RNA, 541 nt
Filed under: Nicotiana benthamiana
Lineage: Eukaryota; Viridiplantae; Streptophyta; Magnoliopsida; Solanales; Solanaceae
Description: long non-coding RNA (NBEN_LNC011797)
Source: RNAcentral
UUUUUUUUCUUUACUUUUAAGUUUCCUUUAUAUGUGACUUUUUUCUAAUUUUCAUUUAUGUGCUUUUUGCACUUUUAUUGCAUGCAAUUUUCUUUUGCCAACAUAGAUUAACUUGUCGAUCAUUACUAUAUAUGUAAGUGCUUUAUUGAUAUUCUGACUGGUCAUAAGGUUCAGCUUAUGCUUCAACUUUCAAACUAAACUUCCUCAUUUUGUGGUUAGCAAUUGAUAUUCUGAGUGGUCAUAAGGUUCAGCUUAUGCUUCAACUUUCAAACUAAACUUCCUCAUUUUGUGGUUAGCAUGUUACUCUUUGCUUGCUUUUUAACUUCUAUCUUUGAUCCAAUUAUAUGUUGACGAAAGAUGGAAAGGCAGAUGAAGUCAUUGUGUAAGAAUUGUAAUGUCUAUGAGUUCAAGUAAUUACACUUCAUUAUUCAGACUUGCCAAACUUAUUAAGGUUGAAUGUUGGAGACAUGAAAGAAAUACUUCUUUAAGUGCAACAAUCGUGUAUGCUAAUGUAUAUUUGUCGGGAGAAGAAAUAAAUUUU